CCAGUCGUGACAUACUGGUUAGGGCUUCAGGCUUGUAUCCAGAGGGUUGCCGGUUCGAUCCCCGACCAGUAGGA
This 74-nucleotide transfer RNA is filed under the name Alosa alosa (allis shad). Its description in RNAcentral is "tRNA-OTHER". Lineage: Eukaryota; Metazoa; Chordata; Actinopteri; Clupeiformes; Clupeidae. The record is from RNAcentral.